UACGAAGGGGGCUAGCGUUGCUCGGAAUCACUGGGCGUAAAGGGUGCGCAGGCGGGUCUUUAAGUCAGGGGUGAAAUCCUGGAGCUCAACUCCAGAACUGCCUUUGAUACUGAAGAUCUUGAGUUCGGGAGAGGUGAGUGGAACUGCGAGUGUAGAGGUGAAAUUCGUAGAUAUUCGCAAGAACACCAGUGGCGAAGGCGGCUCACUGGCCCGAUACUGACGCUGAUGCACGAAAGCGUGGGGAGCAAACAGG
This 253-nucleotide ribosomal RNA is filed under the name uncultured bacterium. RNAcentral describes it as "partial 16S ribosomal RNA". It matches the Rfam family "Bacterial small subunit ribosomal RNA", at positions 524 to 776 of the family's 1533-position model. The record is from RNAcentral.